UACAGAGGUCUCAAGCGUUGUUCGGAUUCAUUGGGCGUAAAGGGUGCGUAGGCGGCGCGGUAAGUCGGGUGUGAAAUCUUGGAGCUUAACUCCGAAACUGCAUUCGAUACUGCCGUGCUUGAGGACUGGAGAGGAGACUGGAAUUUACGGUGUAGCGGUGAAAUGCGUAGAUAUCGUAAGGAAGACCAGUGGCGAAGGCGGGUCUCUGGACAGUUCCUGACGCUGAGGGCACGAAGGUCAGGGGAGCAAACGGG
Molecule: ribosomal RNA, 254 nt
Filed under: uncultured bacterium
Lineage: Bacteria
Description: partial 16S ribosomal RNA
Rfam family: Bacterial small subunit ribosomal RNA
Source: RNAcentral